Molecule: long non-coding RNA, 1581 nt
Filed under: Homo sapiens (human)
Lineage: Eukaryota; Metazoa; Chordata; Mammalia; Primates; Hominidae
Description: HSALNT0132172
Source: RNAcentral
AGUUGUAUGUCAGAGCUGACGUUGGUCGAGCUCCAGCAAUGGAAACAGCCUUCUCCCCUGCCCACCUGUCCAUGGGUCUCACUGAGUGCCCAAGUGUCAUGUGUCAAAGGGGAUUGAGGGAGGGGGUGGAUAAAAACAGCUGGAAGCGACGGCUCCCUGAGAUCUACAAGGGCUCUUGCGAGUUCCAGGGAAGAGCUGUCUGACGGUGGGCAAGUACCGGGGCAGAAGGUGGAGAUGAGUUGAUCUGAGGGGCCCCCCACCCUUCAGAGGGAGGGUAAGGCAGCAUCUGUUGACCUGGGUUUUCUCCUGAAAACUGUGGGGUCAGGGGAGGAAACUUGAGAUUUUAAAAGUCGAAUGCAUCCCAGGCUUUCAAUUACUGAAGACUAGAGGAGUUGAGUAGGUCCACAGGAGAGAAACCAUCUAAAGCAGCUACCAAGGCCCUGCGGGAUGCCCCUUAGGAGGCCUGAGAGCCCAGCACUGCCGGCGAAGAAAACGGCCCUGGACUCAGAAAGUAGAAGCCAGGAACUGAGAUCAAAGGGUUUUCAGCUGCCCCCAGAGCAGGCCAUAGACCCUCCAGCAAGGACAGAUCCUGCAUGGAUCCAAAGCAGGUGGCUCGGCUUGGGAGGACAAGCGACCUCAGGAUUCCCACGUGUGCUGGGACCCCGGACCUCAGUGGAAGGAGAGUGCUGACCUCCAACUCGACUGGAAUCCUGUGAUAACCUGAAUCAAAUUAUAACUAAUCAGCUCCACACCCGGCUCAAAUCUGAUCGGCUCAACCAUCACCCUAAGGGCUGACCUGAAAAGAGCCUAUACUGUUACACAUUCAAAAACUGGGAAGUAAUUUUCACAUUGCUUUUCAAAAAUUGACUCACAUGCUUAGGAUAAACCCCACUUAGAUAUGACACAUUGUUCUUGUUGUUUACUAUUAGAUUCAAUUUUCUAAAAUUGUCUUUAGGACAAGUGCAUCUAUAAUCAUAAAAGAUACGGUAACGUGUUUGUCCAGAUUUGGUACAAAUAUAAACCACAAUAUGGAUGAACCUUGCAAAUAUAAUAUUAUGCAAGGAAACCAGCAUAAAAUAAUAUAAACUGUAUAAUUCUAUUUACAUAAAGUUAAAAUAAAAAGCAAGCAAGAUGCUAUUCUAGAGAGUCAGAUUUAAGUGUUAAAAAUGUAAAGAAAAGCAGUAAAGGGAUCAUCAUAAAUGUCAGGAUGGGGCUACCUGGGAGGGGACGGCUGGGAGGAGGGGCGGUGACUAGGUUAAGGGAAAAAAUCGGGGGUGGGAAGGUUAUUCAUUUCUCAAACUGUGUGUGGAUUGCAUAUGUGUGUAUUUUGUGAGAAAUUUCUGAGAAGUACUUUUGCUUUCUGGGAAUUAGAAGAAGGGGGAUUGGUAGGUACAUAUUUUCGUAUGUUUAUUGUAUUCUAUUAAUGAAGGUUUGACAAUAAAAAAAUUGCAAAACGCACGUAUUCAUACAAACAAACUCAAGAAAAUAGACCCACAGUCAUAAAAUGAAACAAUUAAUAGGAACAGUCCCCUAAACAAUAUAUUGAUAUAUUUAGCAGAGUGGAACCUUAAGAAAACAUGA